This 22-nucleotide small nuclear RNA is filed under the name Arabidopsis thaliana (thale cress). RNAcentral describes it as "snRNA_15734". The record is from RNAcentral. Lineage: Eukaryota; Viridiplantae; Streptophyta; Magnoliopsida; Brassicales; Brassicaceae.
UUUUUUAGUUAUAUGUAUAGAU